Hydra vulgaris (swiftwater hydra) is the source of this 593-nucleotide long non-coding RNA. RefSeq lists it as uncharacterized. Lineage: Eukaryota; Metazoa; Cnidaria; Hydrozoa; Anthoathecata; Hydridae. The record is from RefSeq and is a predicted model, not a curated record.
UGCUCGUCAAAGAUAAACUUUCCCACAGUUUUUUAUUUUCAGGUUUUAUAAGACUUUUCGAUUGCAUUUUUUUCCUUUAAACUUUUCAUAAGUUUUAUAAAAAUGAAGUUUGUUUUGUUAUUUGUGUUAAUUAUUGGAAUUUUAAAUGUGAAUGGUGAUAGAAGCUCAAACGAAUGCUUGGACGAAGGAAAAGAGUGUAGAAAAAAUGGGGGAACAAACGAAGAAUGCGAUGUUGGCGUUCAAAUUUGCUUGAAUGCAUCUGAAAUGGAGAUGGUUUCUUUGAAGAAUUAGCUACCAUGAAAAACCGUUAAUCGUAUAUUUUUAUUCAAAUUCACUACAGCAAAUGAUAAACUGUAUCUUAAUUUUUUUUUUAUCUGCUAUUUUGUUUUUUUGCUGAAUGAUUUCAUUUUUCCAUUACACUGCAAAACACUUUUCCUGGGUUUUUAAUUUUUCACUUUUCAAAUUAUCGUUUGUUAAGCAUAAAAUUUAAAAAUUUUUUUUAAUAAUGUCAAGUCGGUUUUUAUAUUAGUUUUGAGUAUUGUAGCAUUUUGUAGCAUUAGUUAUUAAAAACUGUUUGUACUAAACAUUUUUAA